CAAGCUACUGGCAAGCUGAGCUGCCGGCAUGUAAUCAGAGAAGAGCGUAUGGGGAUCCGCUGCUGGAAGUGACGCAUUUGGCUUCCCGGCAGGGCACAAUUAGAAGCUGUUUGAGAGAUAUAUAAGAGGGAGGAAUAGCAGUCAGGAGUUGCCAGCAACUUGGAUCGGCAGUUGGUUUGGUCAUGAUGGAUGCAUAAUCAGCAGUGGGGGACUGUAUCCACCUUUUCCAGCCACCGGAGCACCUAAAAGCUGAACUAAUUUAUGCAGGAAAAGUCAUCAACUGCCGAGUCGAGAAGUUUGUGACAAAUCAAAUUUACUGUUGCAAUGUGGCCAACACCUGACUUACUAGUCAGCUGAUGACAGGGAGCCUGUCUGCUUCAAUGGGUGGAGCAAUCGCUUGGUGGGAGAGAGAUCAAUCUGCAACUGAUGCAACAGCUGUAGGCACCCUGAUUGAAAAACCACAGGGGAAAAGCAGGAACAUGACACUGCUAGGUACAUUAAGCAGCAGCUUUUUUUUCCACUGGAACAGAAGAUCUGGUAUGAUGACAUUCAAGCCUUGCCGAAUUACUCUGGGUGGGCCAACUUUCAUCUUAUGUGUAUGGGCAUGUUAAGUCUAAUCACAGACCACAUGUUAGGUUCUUUAAAUGAAGUCAUUACAGCACACUUAUUCCCUGGGGAAUAAUAGAUUUAAUGCCCUUCUUUACAAUAUUACUAGUUCAUACAAACCCAGAAAAUAACUCACAAUGGAAUUUGAAAUAACAUUUUAAAAAGUCCCAUUUUAAGCUGACAUCUAGAAUACAGAACGUGGGAAGUCAAGAAUGUCAUAAGUAGUAUAAAAACGACAAAUACCCAUAAGUGCACCUGUUGA
Molecule: long non-coding RNA, 868 nt
Organism: Hyla sarda
Lineage: Eukaryota; Metazoa; Chordata; Amphibia; Anura; Hylidae
Exons: 4
Source: RefSeq, a predicted model, not a curated record